GCGAUCAUACCAGCACUAAUGCACCGGAUCCCAUCAGAACUCUGUAGUUAAGCGUGCUUGGGCGAGAGUAGUACUAUGAUGGGUGACCUCCUGGGAAGUCCUCGUGUUGCACCUC
This 115-nucleotide ribosomal RNA is filed under the name Vigna angularis (adzuki bean). The record is from RNAcentral. Lineage: Eukaryota; Viridiplantae; Streptophyta; Magnoliopsida; Fabales; Fabaceae.